GGGCACCACCAGGAGUGGAGCCUGCGGCUUAAUUUGACUCAACACGGGGAAACUCACCCGGUCCGGACACUGGAAGGAUUGACAGAUUAAAAGCUCUUUCUUGAUUCAGUGGGUGGUGGUGCAUGGCCGUUCUUAGUUGGUGGAGUGAUUUGUCUGGUUAAUUCCGAUAACGAACGAGACUCUAGCCUGCUAACUAGUUCGCCGGCAGCUCUUGUCGCGCGGCGCCGCUUCGGCGGCAAACUUCUUAGAGGGACAGGUGGCGUUUAGCCACACGAAGUAGAGCAAUAACAGGUCUGUGAUGCCCUUAGAUGUCCGGGGCCGCACGCGCGCUACACUGAAAGAAUCAACGUGGAUGCCCACCUGCUCCGAGAGGAGUGGGAAACCCGAUGAAUCUCUUUCGUGAUGGGGAUUGGGGCUUGUAAUUGUUCCCCAUGAACGAGGAAUUCCCAGUAAGCGUCAGUCAUCAGCUGGCGCUGAUUACGUCCCUGCCCUUUGUACACACCGCCCGUCGCUACUACCGAUUGAAUGGUUUAGUGAGACCCUCGGACUGGAGUCCGUCCGCCGCUUUCGGGUGGUGGAUGGGGACGGAAAGACGGUCGAACUUGAUCAUUUAGAGGAAGUAA
Molecule: ribosomal RNA, 623 nt
Filed under: Lepetodrilus fucensis
Lineage: Eukaryota; Metazoa; Mollusca; Gastropoda; Lepetellida; Lepetodrilidae
Description: SSU rRNA
Rfam family: Eukaryotic small subunit ribosomal RNA
Source: RNAcentral